CCCCAAAGAGAUCGAAACCGCCGAGAAGGUUCCCGACUUUGUCGACACCUUCUACAAUUUAGUCACCGACAUCUACGAGUGGGGAUGGGGCCAGUCCUUCCACUUCUCCCCUUCCCUCCCUGGAAAGUCCCACCGUGACGCCACGCGCCUCCACGAGGAGAUGGCCGUCGAUCUCAUCGACGUCAAACCCGGAGAUCGAAUUCUGGACGUCGGAUGCGGUGUUGGUGGUCCCAUGCGAGCCAUCGCAGCUCACUCUCGUGCCAAUGUGGUCGGGAUCACGAUCAACGAGUACCAGGUGAAACGCGCGCGUCUGCACAACAAGAAGGCCGGCCUCGACUCUCUGUGCGAGGUGGUGUGUGGGAAUUUCCUGGAGAUGCCGUUCCCCGAGAACAGCUUCGACGGCGCGUACUCGAUCGAGGCGACGUGCCACGCGCCGAAGCUGGAGGAGGUGUACGCCGAGAUCUUUAGGGUUUUGAAGCCGGGAUCUCUGUACGUGUCGUACGAGUGGGUGACGACAGACAAGUACAUGGGGGACGACGCGGAACACGUGGAGGUCAUUCAGGGGAUUGAGAGAGGGGAC
RNAcentral lists this long non-coding RNA (580 nucleotides) under Prunus persica (peach). Its description in RNAcentral is "long non-coding RNA (PPER_LNC001393)". The record is from RNAcentral. Lineage: Eukaryota; Viridiplantae; Streptophyta; Magnoliopsida; Rosales; Rosaceae.